AAUAGGUGAAGGGUGGGGACCAAUCAGAGGAAAACAUGCCAAAUGGGAAGACAAGUUCCCAAUCUGGUCAGAGGAUUUAACUUGCAGCUUGGCUUUCAGGCUUUAAACUGUCUUCGGCUUGAAGGUGGGGUUUUGCCAUGGGCCCACCCCUAUCUGCCUAGGCAUUUGUCUGCCUCUAUCAAUGUCAGAAUGAAGACUGGGAGACCUGCUGCUCCUUCCAUUGGAAUGAAUCUUACUCUGGAAGGAGAUUGGACUUUGGAACAGGCUGACCUGAAUUCAGAUCCCAGCUCCACCACUGACAAACUGUGUAACCACUGGCAAUGAAUACAACCUCUCUCAGCCUCCGGUUCCCUAUCAAAAACACCGUGGUAAUACUGUUAUCUUCAGAAAGUUGUUGAGAAGAUUAAAUAAAAUUGUGUUAAUAAACCAAAG
RNAcentral lists this long non-coding RNA (432 nucleotides) under Homo sapiens (human). RNAcentral describes it as "HSALNT0086443". Lineage: Eukaryota; Metazoa; Chordata; Mammalia; Primates; Hominidae. The record is from RNAcentral.